GCCGAAGUGGUGGAACUGGUAGACGCGCUGCGUUCAGGGGCGCAGUGGGCGCAAGCCCGUGGGGUUCGAGUCCCCCUUCGGCA
This 83-nucleotide transfer RNA is filed under the name Gemmatimonadota bacterium. RNAcentral's name for it is "Gemmatimonadetes bacterium (activated sludge metagenome) tRNA-Leu". Lineage: Bacteria; Pseudomonadati; Gemmatimonadota. The record is from RNAcentral.